Molecule: transfer RNA, 85 nt
Filed under: Felis catus (domestic cat)
Lineage: Eukaryota; Metazoa; Chordata; Mammalia; Carnivora; Felidae
Also listed under: 2 other names
Rfam family: tRNA
About the family: Transfer RNA (tRNA) molecules are approximately 80 nucleotides in length. Their secondary structure includes four short double-helical elements and three loops (D, anti-codon, and T loops). Further hydrogen bonds mediate the characteristic L-shaped molecular structure. tRNAs have two regions of fundamental functional importance: the anti-codon, which is responsible for specific mRNA codon recognition, and the 3' end, to which the tRNAs corresponding amino acid is attached (by aminoacyl-tRNA synthetases). tRNAs cope with the degeneracy of the genetic code in two manners: having more than one tRNA (with a specific anti-codon) for a particular amino acid; and 'wobble' base-pairing, i.e. permitting non-standard base-pairing at the 3rd anti-codon position.
Source: Rfam by way of RNAcentral
ACCUGGGUGGCUCAGUCGGUUAAGCGUCUGACUUUGGCUCAGGUCAUGAUCUCUCAGUUUGUGGGUUCAAGCCCCACAUCUGGCU